Molecule: ribosomal RNA, 440 nt
Filed under: uncultured bacterium
Lineage: Bacteria
Description: partial 16S ribosomal RNA
Rfam family: Bacterial small subunit ribosomal RNA
Source: RNAcentral
CCUACGGGAGGCUGCAGUGGGGAAUAUUGCACAAUGGGGGGGACCCUGAUGCAGCGACGCCGCGUGAGUGAAGAAGUAUUUCGGUAUGUAAAGCUCUAUCAGCAGGGAAGAAAAUGACGUUACCUGACUAAGAAGCCCCGGCUAACUACGUGCCAGCAGCCGCGGUAAUACGUAGGGGGCAAGCGUUAUCCGGAUUUACUGGGUGUAAAGCGAGCGUAGACGGUUAUGCAAGUCUGAUGUGAAAGCCCAGGGCUCAACCAGGGGACUGCUUUGGAAACUGGAAAACUGGAGUGCAGGAGAGGUAAGCGGAAUUCCUAGUGUAGCGGUGAAAUGCGUAGAUAUUAGGAGGAACACCAGUGGCGAAGGCGGCUUACUGGACUGUAACUGACGUUGAGGCUCGAAGGCGUGGGGAGCAAACAGGAUUAGAUACCCCAGUAGUC